UCCCUGGUGGCUCAAGUGGCAAAGUGUCUGCCUACAAUGUGGGAGACCCAGGUUCAAUUCCUGGGUAGGGAA
Molecule: transfer RNA, 72 nt
Filed under: Ovis aries (sheep)
Lineage: Eukaryota; Metazoa; Chordata; Mammalia; Artiodactyla; Bovidae
Rfam family: tRNA
About the family: Transfer RNA (tRNA) molecules are approximately 80 nucleotides in length. Their secondary structure includes four short double-helical elements and three loops (D, anti-codon, and T loops).
Source: Rfam by way of RNAcentral